CAUGCAAGUCGAGGGGCAGCAUAAUGGAUAGCAAUAUCUAUGGUGGCGACCGGCGCACGGGUGCGUAACGCGUAUGCAACCUACCUUUAACAGGGGGAUAACACUGAGAAAUUGGUACUAAUACCCCAUAAUAUCAUAGAAGGCAUCUUUUAUGGUUGAAAAUUCCGAUGGUUAGAGAUGGGCAUGCGUUGUAUUAGCUAGUUGGUGGGGUAACGGCUCACCAAGGCGACGAUACAUAGGGGGACUGAGAGGUUAACCCCCCACACUGGUACUGAGACACGGACCAGACUCCUACGGGAGGCAGCAGUGAGGAAUAUUGGUCAAUGGACGCAAGUCUGAACCAGCCAUGCCGCGUGCAGGAUGACGGCUCUAUGAGUUGUAAACUGCUUUUGUACGAAGGUAAACGCAGAUACGUGUAUCUGUCUGAAAGUAUCGUACGAAUAAGGAUCGGCUAACUCCGUGCCAGCAGCCGCGGUAAUACGGAGGAUUCAAGCGUUAUCCGGAUUUAUUGGGUUUAAAGGGUGCGUAGGCGGUUUGAUAAGUUAGAGGUGAAAUUUCGGGGCUCAACCCUGAACGUGCCUCUAAUACUGUUGAGCUAGAGAGUAGUUGCGGUAGGCGGAAUGUAUGGUGUAGCGGUGAAAUGCUUAGAGAUCAUACAGAACACCGAUUGCGAAGGCAGCUUACCAAACUAUAUCUGACGUUGAGGCACGAAAGCGUGGGGAGCAAACAGGAUUAGAUACCCUGGUAGUCCACGCAGUAAACGAUGAUAACUCGUUGUCGG
RNAcentral lists this ribosomal RNA (781 nucleotides) under uncultured bacterium. RNAcentral describes it as "bacterial SSU rRNA". It matches the Rfam family "Bacterial small subunit ribosomal RNA", at positions 54 to 826 of the family's 1533-position model. The record is from RNAcentral.